Small nuclear RNA from Lepus europaeus (European hare), 134 nucleotides. RefSeq annotates it as U11 spliceosomal RNA. NCBI's taxonomy places the organism in Eukaryota, Metazoa, Chordata, Mammalia, Lagomorpha, Leporidae. The record is from RefSeq and is a predicted model, not a curated record. The transcript has a single exon.
AAAAAGGGCUCUGUCAUGAGUGGGACACGUAGGGCGACUCUGUUUGCUCUUCAUGUGCAAUUGACAUCAAUAUAUUUUGGAAGCACAAUUUUUUGGUACUGGGAUAGCUGGCAAUCAUUGGUCCUGGCACUUGA